This 1715-nucleotide long non-coding RNA is filed under the name Brachypodium distachyon (stiff brome). RNAcentral describes it as "long non-coding RNA (BDIS_LNC003516)". The record is from RNAcentral. Lineage: Eukaryota; Viridiplantae; Streptophyta; Magnoliopsida; Poales; Poaceae.
GGUGAAAAGCUACCCCGUAGACGCCACGAGGCCCGCAGGAGAGGGCGAUGCAUGCCUGAAAUCACACGACGAAUGGUACAGGGAACUUGAAAUCUUGGAUGAUGUCAUAAAAUGGGUACAUAAAGAUGGUGUUAAGUGGAAAACACAAUCCAAGUAUCUGAUGUUGCACUUCCUUCACAAACUAGACGAACCCACACGAACGUUCUCGAAUUAGAGGGGGAAAAGUCGCAAUUCGGACGGAGCCAGCCGAAUCUGUUGAGGACUUGGGUAGAUGUUUGCUUUUUCAAGUUGACAUGUCCUAAUAAAACACUAUGAUAUAGUAAAGUGACAUGGAAACCCAAGUUUUGAUGAAAAGCUAGUAACAAAACACUAAGGAACAUUCAAACCCAAGCCCUAGAGUGAGGAAAACACGCAUUUCGGACCGAGGGAGAAGAAUUCUGUGAGUGCUUGGGGUAGAUUUUUGUUUUACAUGUGCCCAUGUGGCAAUAGAAUACUAAGUAAUAGAAAAACAUCAGGAAAACAAAUGUUUUGGUGAAAAGCUACCCCGUAGACGCCAGGAGGCCCGCAGGAGGGGGCGAUGCCUCAAAUCACACGACGGAUGGCCUAGAGAACUUGAAAUCUUGGAUGAUGUCAUAAAAUGGGUACAUAGAGAUGGUGUUAAGAGAAAAACACAAUCCAAGAAUCUGAGGUUGCACUUCCUUCACAAACUAGACUAACCUGCACGAACGUUCCGGACUUAGGGGGGAAAAGUCGCAAUUCAGAAGGACGGAGCAUAAUUCUUUGAGGACUUGGGUAGCUUUUUGGUUUUUCAUGUCCCCAUGUGCUAGUACAACACAAAGGUAUAGAGUAAAGUGACUUGAGAACACAAGUUUUGGUGAAAAGCUAGCCCGGAGAAAACCGAAGGCCCGCAGGAGAGGGCGAUGCCUGAAAUGACACGACGAAUGAUCCAGAGAACUUGAAAUCUUGGAUGAUGUCAUCAAAUGGGUUCCUAAAGAUGGUGUUAAGAGGAAAACACAAUCCAAGUAUCUGAGGUUGCACUUCGUUCACAAACUAGACUAACCCGCACGGAAGUUCCGAACUUAGGGGGAAAAUUUCGCAAUUCGGACGGACGGAGCAGAAUUCUUUAUGAAAUUGGGUAGAUUUUUGUUUUUCAUGUUCAAAUGUCCUAAUAGAACAAAAAGGAAGUCUAAACUGACAGGAAAACCCCAAUGUUUUGUGAAUAAAUAAAGUAAAAAUUGGAAAAAAAAGUGAACCGAGCCUAGCUUAGGUGGUCUGGUUCCUUGUGGUGGAACCAGCUCACCCAGGUUCAAGUCCUAAACUUGACAUGUGUGUCACAUUUUCCUGGAUUAUUCCAGGAUUUAACCGGCGCUAUUCUUUCAGUGGUGGAUGACGUACCAGGUCCAGUCUUUCGGAGGUGCUGAUAGGGGUAGGGUGUGCGUGUAUGCGUUCAUAGGGGUGAGUGUACGCACGUGUUGUGAGUGUCUGUGUUUGUACUGUGUUUCUCAAAAAAAAACUAAAAAAAUGUAAAAAUUCUUUGCCGGCGGCUUUUUGUCGGGCCACCGGCAAAGAGGGCUAAAAAAAAACAAAAACCUCCGUCCCCCCUCUUUCUCUCUCUCUCUCUCUCUCUCUCUCUCUCUCUCGCGCCCGCGCCCGACCGCCGCCGUCGCCCCCCGGCCGAAUCCCCCCAGAUCCGGCCUCCCCCUCCCUCUCCCCGC